Molecule: ribosomal RNA, 485 nt
Filed under: uncultured Bacteroidota bacterium
Lineage: Bacteria; Pseudomonadati; Bacteroidota
Description: bacterial SSU rRNA
Rfam family: Bacterial small subunit ribosomal RNA
Source: RNAcentral
AUGGGUUGUAAACUGCUUUUCUGAGGGAAGAAUAAGAUCGAUUUGUUCGGUCGAUGACGGUACCUCAGGAAUAAGCAUCGGCUAACUCCGUGCCAGCAGCCGCGGUAAUACGGAGGAUGCAGGCGUUAUCCGGAUUUAUUGGGUUUAAAGGGUGCGUAGGCGGGCUGUCAAGUCAGUGGUGAAAUCUUUCGGCUUAACCGGGAAACUGCCAUUGAAACUGACAGUCUUGAGUCAGGUAGAGGUAGGCGGAAUGUGUAAUGUAGCGGUGAAAUGCUUAGAUAUUACACAGAACACCGAUUGCGUAGGCAGCUUACUGGACCUGCACUGACGCUGAUGCACGAAAGCGUGGGGAGCGAACAGGAUUAGAUACCCUGGUAGUCCACGCCGUAAACUAUGAUUACUCGUUGUUGGCAAUACACCGUCAGCGACCAAGCGAAAGCGAUAAGUAAUCCACCUGGGGAGUACGCUCGCAAGAGUGAAACUCA